CCCAAAACCAGCCGUGGAGCGAUGUCGUUCUUCCCCAACGCGCAGAAGCCCCUGGCAGUCGCUCCCUUCUUCCAUUUCCUGGCCACCAGGCUUCUCACGUACGCCACCCCUGCCAACAGGCGAGCAGAGCCGCCGAGUGGCCGCUCGGCCUGGGCACCGCCUGGCUGGCCAGUGGAUGGCUGCCGCCCCGUCCCAACCAAUGGAGUACCAGCGACGUUUCGUUAAAUCCCAGCCAGCCACUCUUCUCCCUACGCAAUCCCUCUCUCCCACACGGCGGCAGGCAGCGACUCCAUCUCCCUGGCUCCUCGGACACCGAAGCUCCAUGGCCGCCCAGCUCCUUCCCUAGCCGAGCUAUGGCUUCUCCCAUGGCGCCACCCUUUCCCUCGGCGCCCUUCUUCCCCAGGCCGGUGUGCAGGCCCUCUUCCUCCUCAUGCCGAGCGUCCCUGCGUCCCCUUCUCCCCCUCUGCACCAUGGCUGGUUCCUUGUUCCCCUCAGAACCCAGCAGGGAGAGUAGGCGCCCCUUCCCCUAGCGGAUCCAUGAUGCUAGGAGGAUCUCCUCCUCGGCCGGCGCUCCAACCCGGCGUCCAUGGCGUCGGUGCCCUCCCUCAGCAGUGCGCCGUCGACCCGCUCCACUCGCCGGCCAACAUCUUCCACAGGACGUCGACGAGCUUUCCCACCUCCAAUGUCGGGACCGCGCGCGAGCAUAAGCUCAGGGCCCCGCUCGGCCCUCUCGUUCGCGCGCAGGGUGCCCCUGCUUCCCCAUGGCCGAGCUCAACCUGCUAGGACAAGCUGCAAGCCCCUCUGCUCCUACUCGUCCAUGGCGCCCUGGAACUUCUCGUCCAGAGUCUUGCCCCUCCUUGCUCUUGUCGAAGCCGACGUCCCCUGCUCCUCCAUGGCGGCGAGUCGGUGCAGGCAACUACUCCCAUGACGCCUCUGCUCCAGCCAUGGCGGAGACUUUCUCUGGUCCAAGCUCGAGCAGGUGGCCCACCGUCGCCCAUGGCCAACCUCGCCACUCCCCCUCAGCUCCGAUGGUUGGUGCUCGCAGAGCUCUUCUAGGGUGUUGCCCUCCCUGCUCCAUGGCUCAAGCCUGAGCUCACCCCAUGGGCGCGCCCCUUCUCCACGGCGUUCUGCAGUAGGGAGCUCUUCUCCCCGGUGCGCAGAAGCUUCUCCAUGGGCAUGCCAUCCCUGCUGUUCCCUGCGCCCUACUUUUCCAUGGAAAUCAGCAGGAGCAAUGCCGCCUAGCUCUAGGCCCCUGCUCCUCCUCUCUUCCCCACAAAACAGCAGCCGCAGCGAGCUCGCCGUCAACCUCGCGCAGCAGCCACGACGCUAGUUCGCGCAGCCACAUGGGUUCUCGCUGUGUCGCGCCCUCGGCGUGCUCGAUGAAAUGCCGCAGCAGCAGCAGCGACGCCCUUCGCUGCGUCGCGCUCGCCAGGACGGGCCUCACGCUAUUGAUCUGCGCAGCAUUUGCGCGUCGUCGUCGAAACCCGCGGUGAGCUCCUCGCUGUCCUGUGUUCCCUGAUUUUAUAAAAUAACUGAACUAAUAAAGCUGUGAAAUAAUUGUGUA
RNA transcript from Zea mays, 1564 nucleotides. It is a transcript of the gene named MAPK-interacting and spindle-stabilizing protein pseudogene, with no coding region annotated. The record is from RefSeq and is marked validated. NCBI's taxonomy places the organism in Eukaryota, Viridiplantae, Streptophyta, Magnoliopsida, Poales, Poaceae. The transcript has a single exon.